GGCUCGGGACCUCGGGUCCCCGGCCGGUGGCUGCGUGGGAAGCGGCUCAACUCGGUGCACUUGUUCACUCUUUCUUCAUUGGAGGAGGAGCCAGUGUUGCAACCUUCAUGUUCCUUGCUGGAGGCAAAACAGUGAUUUUCUGCAGCAGGCGAAAUGUCCAGGGCCUGCCAGUUUUACGAGCUUCCCUGCUGGAUGGCCUCCCUCUCACCAGCCUCGUCCGUGUGAAACUCAAAUGUUUCCCUGCUGAAUCUGAUUAGAUUAGAUUGAAGUUAAAGGUCUUUGCUCCUGCUGAUCUUACUGGUUUUGGGAGUAGUAGUUCAAUAAAUCUUUACAGUGUGUUUGAAUCCCA
Molecule: long non-coding RNA, 349 nt
Filed under: Vulpes vulpes (red fox)
Lineage: Eukaryota; Metazoa; Chordata; Mammalia; Carnivora; Canidae
Description: lncRNA (ENSVVUG00000022067.1)
Source: RNAcentral